This 571-nucleotide long non-coding RNA is filed under the name Vulpes vulpes (red fox). Its description in RNAcentral is "lncRNA (ENSVVUG00000004867.1)". The record is from RNAcentral. Lineage: Eukaryota; Metazoa; Chordata; Mammalia; Carnivora; Canidae.
GUUUGGGUUGAUAGUAUCCUCUUCCAGGGUCUUGACUUUGCAUCUGGGUUAUGUUAUUUUGGCAAGUGCUACUGAAGCUCCUUAUUUUCUGAUGAGGAUGUUUAGUUUGGAGGAAGUUAAUGAGCAGGGACGGGAAAGUGUUCUAUGAUAUCAAGACAAGAAAAUUAUGGAGACCAGCAGCAUUACUAGUGUUCCCCUGUUCAUCUGUUCCCUAACUUCAACACAAUCAGCAGAAAGAUCUUUCAGUAGACACAAAGACUAGCAAGGACAGAGUAUAUAACACUGCAUUUUUUUUCCCAAAACCUAUUUUCUCUAUAGCAAUGAAGUACUCUUUCUACGAGCAGUUACAAGCACAGAAAAUGUUGCCUACCGUAGAAUCAAAGACUUCCUUGAAAUUAUAUUACAUUUAAGUGUCAGCAGAAGAGGAAUUACAUUAGAAAAGUCUUCAGCUACAGUUCCCCAACCACAGACUUGGGAACAUAUUGGUAAGUUCAUCUUUAUUAUGAUGUCUUGAUGUACCUUACCCAUACUUUAAUGGUCCAGAGUGGCCAGAAAAUUAACUCUGUAUUUC